Long non-coding RNA from Trachemys scripta elegans, 3548 nucleotides. RefSeq lists it as uncharacterized. Lineage: Eukaryota; Metazoa; Chordata; Testudines; Emydidae. The transcript is spliced from 5 exons. The record is from RefSeq and is a predicted model, not a curated record.
AGUUGGUGACACCCUCACACCUGCAGCAUGUGGAUCGUGGAGACAGGAGAUGGAACUGACCUGCAGCUUUCCAAAUGAGUCCUAUUACGUACAUGGAUGCUGUGGUGGAGUGGCAGUUGGAUCCAUGCUGCCCUUUAUAGCUUUGAUACAGGAGCAGGAGGGCAACCAGGGCACACGUGUGGCCCAAACAAACAAAGCUGGCCAAAACACCCCAGUCUCAAGCACAUCAGGUGCAGACACACCAAGAGUGGAAUAUACCGAUAGACAACAACUCUCAAACUCCAGUUCCUGUAUAGGAUCACCCUCAGUGUCCCCGGUGGCAUCGGCUCGCCGCAGGGCUUGGAGCAGCUGGGGUCCUCAUCCUGGUGGGAGCUGUGAUAGCGAUGGGCAUUUGGGGUAAGCAGUUCAAAAUUAAUUUGUGCUAAAUGCAGCACCCUGAAAUUUCCUCUCCCCCCAUAUUUCUGAUUCCAAUGUUCUUGUGAAUAAUAUCCUGGACACGUUGUUAUCACCACAAAGGGAACAAUAUUCCAUAAACAAGGUUGAGACCCUGUGAUCCAGCUCUCACAACGUCACUGUUCAGUGUGCACAGGGAAAAGUGGAAGACACCUUAUAAUGUAUAAUAAAUGUAAUUUUCCCUUUCUCUGUCGUGUUCUAUCUCUCUGGCCCAGUUCUGAAUUUGAUAGCUACAGUAUGUAAUGAUUUGUUGUUGCACACACCCUCAUUCCCAGUUUGCUGAUCCCUAAGUAGUAGUCACCAUUCACGCUCAUGCUGUUCUGAAGUUUGUCACACCAAAGGAUCUCUGAAUUCACUGGAGAACAAGGGUACCAGGGAGAGAAUCAUCCAUCAACCCAACUGCAGCACUGCCCUAAAAGAUUUCCAUUUCCACUUGAAACAAUUUGUGUGUGAAAACAACGAGGAGUCUGGUGGCAACUCAGCAGGUAACCUGAGCUCCUUCUCUCUCUCAGCAGCUUCCUGCAUUGCAGUGACAUCUAGUGGUCGGUUAGGGUAACCCUAAGUGGCGGAUACAAACCACUUCAAUAAGUGCAAUAAAUAUGCUAUUGCUUUACAAACUAGGAAUAGAGUAGCUGGUAGCAACUGCUGUUUGGUUUCCCUUAACGCUUCCGUUGUAAAAGGGUCUUGUGUUUUCUCUAAGAAGCUCUCACACUUCCAUUGUUUGAAACAUGCCUUUGAAAUAUGGGGUGAGGGGAGACCUCAGGAUGGAGAAAUGUUUUUUCUUUGGCCCAUGAAAUUUCAUCCAGGUUUUGCUGAGAUGGGAACUUUGGAAGAGUUUUCUUUUCUCUCCUUGCUUGUGAUGCUCAGGAAAAUUGACAAAUAACAGCAUGAAAAGUCAAAAGUGCUGGGCUCACCCUGCCACAGCAGCACACCUGGCACUGGGAGCUACCAGAGCACAUGGAGAUGGAUGUGAGGAGGGGGUGAGAGCUGGGCCAGGCUCCCCCACAUCCAGCAUGUGGCUCCAGGAACUCUCAUCCACAGGAACAUCACAUGGGACAGAAGCUCCUCCUGGGGAGGGAGAGGGAGCUGGCUCUGCUCCCAUUGGCUGCCCAGGCCCAUUCCCUGCCUCCUCCAUGAGAAUAACAGACUCCCUGUUACCAGCUAACAUUGACUGGUAGCAGUGUGGUGUGGUUCUGAAGAUCCAGGGUCCACACCCUGCUGCUGAUUCAGGAUGGUCCUGAAUGCUGAUGCAGUUGUUCCUGUUGCAUGUAAUAGAAUUGUUGUUUAUGUUUUUUAAAAAUGAGGACAUUAAAUACAAUACUGCAUGAAGAGAACAGGAAGGUUACAAAGCCAAGCUCUGGAAAGUUAGGAAAUGCCAGAUUUACAAUUACUCGCACAACCUUAAUUCAGCCCCCAUUCGUGUUUGCCUUAUGAUACGCUCUUUAUUGAAUGAUUACCUACUAUUUUUUCCUCAGGGCUGCUGCCUCAUUCAGUGCACAGGCCUAUCUUGUUCCCAUGUACAUGAUGGCUCCCCAAGCAUUCAGGGUACAGGAUGAACCCACAGUCACGCUGAAUUACAGCUACAUGGGCAACCAUGAAUGUGGCAUUUCCAACUCUGACUUUGCAACCUAAAUAAAGUUCUUUUAGCUCUUUUAUAUGUAGUAUUAUCUACCCCAAGUGGAAUGCAGCCAUCUCUAAGGGGAAACGUAAUGGCUGUUAAGCAGUGCACACAGGAACAAUACAGUAGCUGAGGGGAGGAAGUGAAGGAGGAUUCCAGUUGACCCUGACCUGCAUUACCCCGUGCUAUUUCAGGACUGAGGUACUCACAGCUUCACCAAUACCCCUCCCUUCCUGGCAGCACCUGCAGCUAGUUAAAUAUUAGACCCAUCCUCAAACAAAACCAAGACAAUAGCUCCACUGGAAAUGGGGAGGCUGGAGGCCUGUGCAUGAGUGUGAUGCAGUUCAGAACCUUCAGCUCCAUUAAGUGUUUCCAUUUCCCCUCCAGAGGGAUCAGGUUGUAAGCUCUGCCCCCCAAACUGGCUGCUGCACAGGGACAAGUGCUACUGGGUGUCAAAAGAAAAAAAUCCCUGGAACAAGAGCCGCGAUGACUGUUCAAGGAGGAGCUCUCGGCUGCUGGUGCUCCGGGACCAGGAUGAGAUGACUUUCAUACAAACUACUUCCAAAGGCGCAAAACAGAUCUGGCUUGGACUCACUAUUACAUCCGCCGCGAGGAAUUGGACUUGGGUGGACGGCUCCCUGUUAAAUCAAACACUGUUCAAUGUAAAGGAUCCUGCUGAAGGGAACAGCUGCGGGAUGAUAAAAGCAGAUGGGAUUCAUUUUGAAACCUGCAGUGCUACAUCUAAAUGGAUUUGUGAAAAAGACGCUCUCCAGAUAUAGACAGUGACAUUAUCUGUAUUUUCUACGUGUGAAGGAGAAAUCUUCUUUAGUUUCAGUCUGUCCCAUGAACGAUGAAUAUUGAAGGUGAGCUUCAAAGGGAAAAAUUGACCUUGUGCCCUUCCCCGUCUCCCCUGCUUUUAUAAUGUGGAUAAAGACGGCAUGGAAGUCUUUUCUUGCAUUUGAAAUUCAGGUCCUGUCUGGGCUUGAAGAUUACGGUGAAGGGAGAACUAGUGAAGUGACAUCACAAGUAGAGCUGGGGGAAAAUUUUCCACUGAAUAUUUUGUCAAAAAAUGCAGUUUUGGGUCAAACAAAUUGGUGUUGAAUUUACUGAAUAGAUUUAGGCAAAAUAAAAUAAUUAAAAAAAAUCAGGCUACGUUCACCAGAUGACUGGGGAGGAGACAGCAGCUAACUCCAUCCAAUAGCCAAGUGCUUUGUGCACCAGAUUUGAACAGGGCCACCCAGAGGGGGGGGGCAAGUGGGGCAAUUUGCCCCGGGCCCCACAGGAGCCCCCACAAGAAUGUCAGAGGCUCCCACUCCACCUCCGCCUUCCCCCAUCCCCCGGCGCCUCAGCGCACCGUGCCCAGGAGCUGCCCUGGACAGCAUUGCAGCAGCAGUGUGGCUCCAGCGGGGCCUGAGCUCCAGGGCCGCUCCCUGAUGCGGCGCACUGAGGCUCUGGGAGAGGAGGGAGGCAGGGGUAA